RNAcentral lists this long non-coding RNA (1571 nucleotides) under Homo sapiens (human). RNAcentral describes it as "HSALNT0313894". The record is from RNAcentral. Lineage: Eukaryota; Metazoa; Chordata; Mammalia; Primates; Hominidae.
GAAUUGCUGAAGUUGUGAAGGUUGAUGCUGUGAAUGCGCUCGGUCAUCCCCUUGCAACUGAUGUCACCUGCAGCAUGUCAACGCAGACACAAAACAGGGCAUGGGUCAGAUCUAGCUGGUUGCAUUCCUAACACCUAGGUUUCAGAGUAAAAAUACAGAGUCAGCUUGUGAUGGCAUUCCCUCAAAACAUGGAAGGAAUUGCAGUAAUGAAAGUCAUCAUGUAUUCUAAGAGACUGUUCUGCGAGAGCACAACACAGACGGGGCUAAAGCAGGGAUUGUCUAAGCCCAGUGUGGAGGAACCAUCAAGGAUUUCAGCACGUUUUUUUAGCCAUUGUACAGUUUGUGAAAAUUAAGUUUUACUCUGUGAAUAAAGAAUUGGAUAGAUAAUUCCAGACAACAUUCUGAAAGACACUUACGCCGUCAUUCCAAAGUUGAAAUGAAAUGAGGGGGAGAAGACUUGCUGGGACUAAGGAAAAAAGUCAAUGAAAUCUGAGUGAGAAGCAAAAGUGCUCAGGAGUUAAGAGAAGCAGACGUCCGAAAUUAUCUCCAUGCAUUACCAAAAACCGUGGGCACCACGGCACGGGGAAAACUUACCAGGUACAAUGAGCCAGUGACUGUUACUGAAUUUCUUAAGAUUACACUUUUCCCAACUACUGCAGACUGCUUCAGAAUAGAAGAAGACAACUCUCAUGCCAUCAAGCCGACGGACUUUCAAAAAAAUAAAAGAUGCAUUUCUUUACUUGAGCUACGGUGAAAGGGCACCUAAGGUGAAUGGACAGAUUGUAGAUGGGUGCACACAGGAAAAUGUACAGCUCCUACAAUGUAUUCUGAGGGCCCAUGAGAAGUAAAAGCAGGCACUGGCAUUCUGCACAGAUGAAAUACUUCCUACGACAGGAAUACAUGCUCACUUGUGGACUUCUCUGUAAUCUGUAGGCAACAUCAGCUCCUGAUUUCUAGGUCUGGAUCUGGGUUCUCUGUAGCACAGGAAGGUCUCUACUUCUCCUACAUAAAUGCCUUGCAUGGCGGGAACUAAAUCAACUACACAGACCCAUACAUCCAGAGAGCAGAGGUGAGCUGGAUACAAGUGGCUUAGAGAUGUGGUGGAAGGAGGCCAGAGCUCCAAGGGAAGGGCAGCAAGGAGACAACAGCAUGGGUUGCAGCUCAGACAACAGGUAAAUAAAACCAAGCAAAGCUGCUGGUCACAGAUUUGACCAGGGUGGCAAGAAAUGACAAGCUACCAUGAGAUUCAACAGUGGCACGGAAGGAUGAUGAGAAGCAAACAGAUUAGGAGAAGCUGCCACCACCGUACAUAGAGGCACAGAUGACCAAGCAGAACAGCACCAGUCCCUGCAAGGUGUGCUCAGAUACAGCUCAGCACAGCCAUCUGGCCAGGAGGGAAUGAUAAUGCACAUGGUGUGCACUGCAGCCGGGAAGUUGAGAACCGCUGUGGGCACCUCAGGACUGAGUCUGGUUACCCUGCUGAUCCAAGAAAUGAAGCCAUCUAAAAUUUUGCCUGCUUUCACAAUUUUCUGUGUGUGUGUGUGUGUAUUAAACAAAGUGAACUAAGAAGC